GAUGAUGUACGAACACCAGCGAGCGAGCACGGCGGCAGAGACGCCGGCUGGGGAGGGCCCCCCUCCAACUCCCCUCUGCAGGGAUGAGCAUUCGUGCUGCGUCAAACCUGCAAAUCGUUCGCUUGCUUUGAGGACACGUGCAAUAUCAUCCAGGCUACUAACUACAGAAAACUUGAAGCAAUCAACUGAAGUUUGUGCAUUGACAUAUCACUUCAUUAGCUGUGAAUUCAUUUCCAAGGGGGCGGUGAACUUUAAUGAAGUUGGAAAUUGAAUCAUGCUGUUGUGUGUAGGGAGACGCCGGAAUCGGAGGGGGCUGUGCAUCGGAAAGGCUCCUUGGCCAAUUAAAAAAUUAAAACACAGUU
Molecule: non-coding RNA, 362 nt
Organism: Phalacrocorax carbo (great cormorant)
Lineage: Eukaryota; Metazoa; Chordata; Aves; Suliformes; Phalacrocoracidae
Source: RefSeq, a predicted model, not a curated record